GACGAACGCUGGCGGCGUGCUUAAUACAUGCAAGUCGAACGGAAAGGCCCUGCUUUUGUUGGGUGCUCGAGUGGCGAACGGGUGAGUAUCACGUGAGUAACCUGCCCUUGACUUUGGGAUAACUUCAGGAAACUGGGGCUAAUACCGGAUAGGAGCUCCUGCUGCAUGGUGGGGGUUGGAAAGUUUCGGCGGUUGGGGAUGGACUCGCGGCUUAUCAGCUUGUUGGUGGGGUAGUGGCUUACCAAGGCUUUGACGGGUAGCCCGCCUGAGAGGGUGACCGGCCACAUUGGGACUGAGAUACGGCCCAGACUCCUACGGGAGGCAGUAGUGGGGAAUAUUGCACAAUGGGCGGAAGCCUGAUGCAGCGACGCCGCGUGCGGGAUGACGGCCUUCGGGUUGUAAACCGAUUUCGCCGGUGACGAAGCGUGAGUGACGGUAAUGGGUAAAGAAGCACCGGCUAACUACGUG
This 468-nucleotide ribosomal RNA is filed under the name uncultured bacterium. Its description in RNAcentral is "partial 16S ribosomal RNA". It matches the Rfam family "Bacterial small subunit ribosomal RNA", at positions 28 to 507 of the family's 1533-position model. The record is from RNAcentral.